GAAAAAUUAAAAAAAAAAAAAUCUUGUGACAAGUGAAAAUGGAAACACAACAUACCAAAUCUUAUGGGAUGCAGCACAAGCAUUUCUAAGAGUGAGUUUUA
This is a long non-coding RNA of Mustela erminea (ermine), 101 nucleotides long. RefSeq lists it as uncharacterized. Lineage: Eukaryota; Metazoa; Chordata; Mammalia; Carnivora; Mustelidae. The transcript has 3 exons. The record is from RefSeq and is a predicted model, not a curated record.